AACAUACUCCCUCCGUCCGGAAUUACUUCUCGCUGAAAUGGAUGUAUCUAGAUGUAUUUUAGUUCUAGAUACAUCCAUUUCUAUCCAUUUCUGCGACAAGUAAUUCCGGAUGGAGGGAGUAGUAU
Molecule: non-coding RNA, 125 nt
Organism: Triticum aestivum (bread wheat)
Lineage: Eukaryota; Viridiplantae; Streptophyta; Magnoliopsida; Poales; Poaceae
Source: Rfam